GACGAACGCUGGCGGCGCGCCUAACACAUGCAAGUCGAACGGAGCUUAAAGAGCUUGCUUUUUAAGCUUAGUGGCGAACGGGUGAGUAACGCGUGAGUAACCUGCCCUAGAGUGGGGGACAACAGUUGGAAACGACUGCUAAUACCGCAUAAGCCCACGGUACCGCAUGACACUGAGGGAAAAGGAUUUAUUCGCUUUAGGAUGGACUCGCGUCCAAUUAGCUAGUUGGUGAGGUAACGGCCCACCAAGGCGACGAUUGGUAGCCGGACUGAGAGGUUGAACGGCCACAUUGGGACUGAGACACGGCCCAGACUCCUACGGGAGGCAGCAGUGGGGGAUAUUGCACAAUGGGGGAAACCCUGAUGCAGCGACGCCGCGUGGAGGAAGAAGGUUUUCGGAUUGUAAACUCCUGUCGUUAGGGGCGAUAAUGACGGUACCUAACAAGAAAGCACCGGCUAACUACGUGCCAGCAGCCGCGGUAAAACGUAGGGUGCAAGCGUUGUCCGGAAUUACUGGGUGUAAAGGGAGCGCAGGCGGGAAGACAAGUUGGAAGUGAAAACCAUGGGCUCAACCCAUGAAUUGCUUUCAAAACUGUUUUUCUUGAGUAGUGCAGAGGUAGAUGGAAUUCCCGGUGUAGCGGUGGAAUGCGUAGAUAUCGGGAGGAACACCAGUGGCGAAGGCGGUCUACUGGGCACCAACUGACGCUGAGGCUCGAAAGCAUGGGUAGCAAACAGGAUUAGAUACCCUGGUAGUCCAUGCCGUAAACGAUGAUUAAAUAGGUGUUGGGGGGAUUGACCCCCCCAGUCCCGCAGUUAACACAAAAAAUAAUUCCCCCUGGGGAGUCCGCCCCCAAGGUUGAAACUCAAAAGGAAUUGACGGGGGCCCGCCCAAACCAGUGGAGUAUGUGGUUUAAUUUGAAGCAACGCGAAGAACCUUACCAGGUCUUGACAUCCGAUGCAUAGCACAGAGAUGUGUGAAAUCCUUCGGGACAUCGAGACAGGUGGUGCAUGGUUGUUGUCAGCUCGUGUCGUGAGAUGUUGGGUUAAGUCCCGCAACGAGCGCAACCCUUAUUGCCAGUUACUACGUUAAGAGGACUCUGGCGAGACUGCCGUUGACAAAACGGAGGAAGGUGGGGAUGACGUCAAAUCAUCAUGCCCUUUAUGACCUGGGCUACACACGUACUACAAUGGCGUUAAACAAAGAGAAGCAAGACCGCGAGGUGGAGCAAAACUCAAAAACAACGUCUCAGUUCAGAUUGCAGGCUGCAACUCGCCUGCAUGAAGUCGGAAUUGCUAGUAAUCGCGGAUCAGCAUGCCGCGGUGAAUACGUUCCCGGGCCUUGCACA
This 1345-nucleotide ribosomal RNA is filed under the name uncultured bacterium. Its description in RNAcentral is "bacterial SSU rRNA". It matches the Rfam family "Bacterial small subunit ribosomal RNA", at positions 28 to 1387 of the family's 1533-position model. The record is from RNAcentral.